UUAAGGCUUUCUAGUCCUUACUUAACUUAUAAAUAAAUAAUAGAAUUCCAUAUAAAAAAAGAAUCCUCAGUUUGUCUCAACUUUUAAAAAUGACAUCCAAAAACAAUACAAUUCUUAUACAAAGUAAAACUGUGGUAAAAGCUAUAAUAUAAAAAUAUUAAAACAUGCAUGUACAAAUUAUUUUUUGAGAAUUACUCAACUUAUUUACUGGGUAAUUAAAACAAACUAAAUAUCUUGAUCGGUGCAAAAAUGAUUAGAUUACCAAUGAAAUAGCAGAGGUGGGAAAAAUUUGGUUGAUUAUUUAGGAAAUCACUGAAGUACCACUGGAGGAGGCCCCUCUAACAAUCGGUGAGCACCCCCCUUUUUUUUCCCUUUAUGAAAAUUUCUGGAUCCCAGUGAACAGAUUACAUUUCAUUCAUUCACAUUUUUAACCUCAAGCUGUUUUAAACUAUAUAGUUUCUUUACUCCUUCCAAAUUUCUAAGCUAUUUGUUUUUAAAAUUAAGUAGUAUAUUUUUAUAUUUAUUUAUGGAACCCAGGAAGGGAGAUAACUAGUGUUCAGUUUAUUAUUUUGUCUGAUUUAUGCAUUAGGCCGGAAUGUGGUAUAGUGAUUCAGUGUAUGAUAUGUUUGCUCAUCCAUCUACAACUUUAACCCACAAUUAUCAAGAUUAAAUGGGACUUUCCCGAUACUUUCAAAUAAUCUUCAGUCUCUGCCGACAUUGUGUACUAUUUUUUAUAACUUCUAAAGGUUCUCUAAUCAAAGAAUGGAUUUUUUCUUUUCUUAUAUCUUAUUACUCAUAUUGAAGGAUAGGUUAG
Molecule: long non-coding RNA, 814 nt
Filed under: Mytilus galloprovincialis (Mediterranean mussel)
Lineage: Eukaryota; Metazoa; Mollusca; Bivalvia; Mytilida; Mytilidae
Source: RNAcentral